CCAAACACUGUGAAAAAGAGAGUAUGCAUAAAGGAAUGAUACAGAGAGUUCCGGCUGGUGAAAGGGAACGCAGGAGGUUAUGCAGAAGAUGGCUUUGGAGUGGCAUUGCCGAACGAUGUUUUCCGGCCCGGCGAAGACCGAGGAUGCGGAAAUACGAACAGGCAGUGACGGGUUCGCCUGUUACAGCGAAAAGUAUAUGAUACUUACCAAGGUCCUUUUUGUGAAAAAAGGGCGAAAAGAAGUGGUACCGCGGAAAACCGCCUUCUGA
Molecule: non-coding RNA, 268 nt
Filed under: Eubacterium sp.
Lineage: Bacteria; Bacillati; Bacillota; Clostridia; Eubacteriales; Eubacteriaceae
Description: T-box sequence
Rfam family: T-box leader
About the family: Uncharged tRNA acts as the effector for transcription antitermination of genes in the T-box leader family. T-boxes are found upstream of many aminoacyl-tRNA synthetase genes and some amino acid biosynthetic genes usually in Gram-positive bacteria.
Source: RNAcentral